RNA transcript from Bombus impatiens (common eastern bumble bee), 4195 nucleotides. RefSeq lists it as uncharacterized. NCBI's taxonomy places the organism in Eukaryota, Metazoa, Arthropoda, Insecta, Hymenoptera, Apidae. The record is from RefSeq and is a predicted model, not a curated record. The transcript has 4 exons.
AUGAAAUUUUUUUAACUGAUUUUGUUCACAUGAUCAUAAUUAAGAUUUUGGGUUAAUCGAUUUUUGGAACAGAAGAAGAGUCAUUUUAGUUCGCUUUAUCGACCGCACUUCCGAUCUCAAUUUUCUUCGUAAUUUCACUCCUCGCAUUUUCGUUUAUUUUCACUGGAAUUAUUUCUGCCACGAAAACACUGUUCCAGUUUGUUUCUUAUGCAUAUCUGGUACAGUUACCGAAAUAAUUUCAUAAAUAUUUGGAGUUUAUCUUCGAAUUCUUAUACAAAAUCUUAUUAAAAUGACGAGAAUAACUAAAAAUAAUGUUCUUUCUUUUCGAAGUAGCUGAUUCCAAAGGGAGAGCCGAACAUCGCAGCGAUAUCGUCGUGUAAUAUUGAUUGCGACAAAGUCCUUGUCGGAAGAUUAAUUAUUUCAUUUUCAUUUAACUUCGCGACGAGCAAUUGAAUUUUCCCCAGGCAAAUCUUUUACUGAAAAUUACCACCGGCUCUGCAUUUCCAAUGUACAGAUAAUGAAAACGCAAAGUUACGUUGCUCCAUUCGUUUUUCGUAUCAUCAACGGAUUAAUUAUAAUAAUCUACGAUUCUCUCAAUUAUUUCCUCUCCCAUGGUUUUACGACGGUAGCGUAAAUAUCCUCCUACCCAUCGCAAUGAUAUUUUCUUCUUUAAACUAUCGCACUUCCAGUUUACAACUCGUAGUCGUAAAAAUUUUAGAGGCUGCGUUGGAAAUUAUUCGGUUAAUGUCAAAGGUUCGAAGUUCCAUCAAGAAGUUGGAACGUUCCUGCGAAGCUUUCCGUGAAAACGGAUUUAUUGAAAGAAAUAGAUCUCGGGAGUCCUUCGUGCGUUCGACAUUAAAUUAUUGUUAUCUGUUCUUCUGUGUCACCGCUCCCUUGCAUUCUAUUUUCAACUUUCGACACUCGCCACACCACGAUAAUAUUUCAAAUCCUUACUAAAAUUCAGCGAAAAUGUUUUUCGUUUCGUUUUCCUUUUGUUUGCGAGAUUAAAACGUCGGAGAUUAAUGUCAGAGCGUAUCCGGUAAUUGUUGUUUCAUUUUAAUGGAGAAAGUUCCGGAAAUUUAUUGCGUAUGAAAAUCUCGAGCGUGUUUCUUAUUGAGAUUUACACAGAAAGAAAAACUAAUUACAAAAUAAUGUUGCGGAUAUUGUAACGCUAGCAUAAACCAUGAUAUAUGGACCACUACGUAUUUAUCGCUUUCUACUGACCCCAGACAUUCUGGCGCUUCAAUAAACUACAUUUCGAGUGCUGAUUCAUUUAUUCUACUGCGCAUUUAUCCAUACGAGGUGUCUUACUUUUAUUAAUGUAAUUAAGAGGAGAUAUUUCUCGAACAUACGUUGAUUUGUCAUAAUAAUAAUUCGCGACAAUAAUGUUUGGACAUUCGCUAUAAAAAAUCUUUAUGAAUAUAUUGCCUGUAUUAUAGAAAGCUUUUGAAGAAUGAAACACGGUUAUCAUAACUAUAGUGAUAAAAUCUGAAACUAAUCUGGAAAUGUACGUAAAAAUUACGAGAGAUUUUUUGCGAGUGUACGUUUAAAAAAAAACUAGUACAUAGUAUAAAAUGAUUGUUUUAAACAUAUAAUUAAUUAGUGAUUGCAACGAAUAUUGAGACUUAUAUUUGCAAUAGGCAUGUUCUAUCGUCUUCGUACAUUUUCGAAUUUGUUUCAAACUUUUGAUCGUGACAGUCGCAUUAUGUGGCAUGUCCUGGAAAAUCUUUCGCAUAAUACGAUUCAGAAAAUGUUUCCAUGUAUUUUCAAAUACUUUCGUAAGCCACGGUAUUUCGAAGCAAUCAAAGGCAGACUAUAAGAGUACAAGAAAUAUCAUUAUGAAACAGUAUUAUUUGAACGUUUAUAUUUGAUAAACAGAAACAUUUAUGUAAAACCGAAUUAUUUGCCCGAUGAUGUUACACAGUUUAAAACUGCACGUCUGUCGAUGAAAAAUAUCGCGCUUUUAAAUAAGAUAUUGUUUGCAAUACGACUCGAUAUGUAAAAUGUUUGUACAUGUCGCACGUACCUGAUUGGAACGUGCGUGUUGAUCGGCGAUGUUGUGCCGUGAAUUUCCACGAAACAGAGAUUGAAACUUCACAGUGAGUACAGAGAGAAGAGCGGAAGGACUGCUAUAAAUACGGUCGAUUUGCAAACGUCACAGGAGUUGUAUACUCGUAUGCCGGAUGUGCGAUGUUUGUCAUGAAACGAAGAUAAGCACCGAGGAUAUACCUGUUCUAUUCCAUUCUAGAAAAGGAAAUGCUUGAUCUAGAUACUGUGAGAACUACCUCGCUUAUUAACUUAAGAGACGUAAUACAAAAAAUCAUGUCAAUGAUCUUCGUUCAGUAUCUACCUUGUACUUCAAAAUAUCUUCUAAUAUCGAAUAGAAAUUCGUACAAGAAGAAAAUUCCUACGAAGCUUUCCAACUAAUUGAAGGAACUUGUCAUAGAUAUAUCAGAUGUAUCGAAUUCUUUAAAUACUGACACACGUGAAAAUACGCUCGAAGGAACAAAGGAGGAUAAGUUCAUAUGACAAAAGAGUCCGUAUAUGCAAUUGAGACUAAAAAGUUACGUUUUCGUAUGGCCAGGCAUACGCAUUUUUUCUCCUGAAAAAUGUGUCCAAAUCGUGAUCUUCUAUCCAAAAAGCACGGAUAGAUCAUAAAACAGCAAUAAGGCACGAUAUCGCGAUGUUCUCACUUUUGCGUAGGUUAAAGAUCCUGUCAUUGGUGUCUGUCAACGGAACAACGCGUUCCACGUUAAUCAAAUCGGAUAUUGGAAUGGUAUUUUCAACGAGCGUAAAUGUAACCGGUUUCUUGGACGGGAAAAAAAGAAAUUGGAGCACAGGGUAUCGUUGGCACAGCAGUAAAGGUUGGCUCAAUGAUAUUUCAAGAUACGAAUCGUCGAAUGGAAAAUUGCUCGCGAUAAAUGGAGAAAGAAACAGGUAUAUGAGCAGUCGUGAAUAUCGCUGUGAAAUGAAGACGUACAUCGAGAGAAGAGGUUUCUUGCUCGACAGUGGAUCGUCGAUCUUUUCGCAGUUCCCUUUGGCGCCAAUUUACCACUCUUGGAAGUUCUCCAAGGAAUUUUGUCCUUCGGCGGAAUACCAUAGUUCAUCCAUGCAGAAGUUGUCGAAUUCGAUGUUAAAGUUCCAUUCUUUCACGGAAAAUCCAUCUUACCAGAAGUCUGCAUGUAAAAAUUUAUGGAGAUCGAGAGAUCUAUCCGAAGCAAUAUUUUGUUCCAUGAGCUUUCGUAACUAUUCCUCCUCCAAAGAACCUCCUUGCGAUAAAACAUUGAAAUCGGAUGAUUGCGAUGGGACAACAAUCAAAGAUGUUUCUAAGGAUUGCUAUUCAAAGUUUGACGAAGAUACGCAAGAAUGUCCAAAAUCUUCGAGAAAAUGUCAACUACCAGUUGAGGAUGAUUGCGAAGAGCACUCACCAUUCCCUUGUCCGGACGUAAAAGAUUAUUGUUCUACAGGUCAAAAAGAUAAAGAUACCGAGAAGAAUGCGUCGUACUUUAUCGUUUUUAAUCAACGAUUAAGUUAAUUCCUAACUGUCAUGUCAUUCUUGAGACAACAGCUUUUUUUUAUCUAUUCCACGAUAUACAUAUUGUGUAACACCUGUAUUAUGAUGUUAUCUUAAAGUAUAUACGUAUAUAAAAAUUAUUAAAAGUUGACUCACUUUAGCUAGCAGCUGAAGUUUCAUCUUUGCUGUUCAGCGAUGCGCGAAAAACUUUAUCAGCUUCGUUGUAUGUACGUUACUUAACAACAUAACUUGUGGCUUUGCAAGUACAGUGGCCUAUGAAGAGAAACUUUUGCAACUGGUGACUGUCAUCGGUGCGAUCGUGUUAAUAGGUAUAUCGUGUUAUGUUUACACCAAGGUGGAAGAAUCGGAUAAACAAUCGAGGCCUGUGUUCAUUGAUGUUCCUUAUAUGAGGCGAAUAAAUAAGCCUUUUCCAUGGGGCGACGGGGAACACACCUUGUUCCAUAAUCCCGUGAGAAAUCCAAUAUCUCCGCAUGGUUACGAGGUAGAAGAUCCAAACGCUGUGACGCCAAGCCAAACCGCAGGGUUAAGGAAACGAUAAUCGAAGAAGGAUGAAAAUAAGAUUGUCUCAUUCUCGCGUUGAGAAUAUUUAAAUAUUCCGUAAUGCAUUAGAAGGAUUAAGAAAAGCCUUGAAAAUCACGUUACAAUUUUUCAAAUGAGUCA